AGCAGCCGCGGUAAUUCCAGCUCCAAUAGCGUAUAUUAAAGUUGUUGCAGUUAAAAAGCUCGUAGUUGAAUUUCGGGAUCAAUUAAUCGGUCGUGCCUCUGGUACGCACUGGUUUUAUUGGUUUCUCCCUUCUGACGAACCAGGAUGUCAUUAAUUUGGUGUCUUGGAGAAUCAGGACUGUUACUUUGAAAAAAUUAGAGUGUUUAAAGCAGGCUAACGCUUGAAUACAUUAGCAUGGAAUAAUGAAAUAGGACGUUUGAUCCUAUUUUGUUGGUUUCUAGGAUCGACGUAAUGAUUAAUAGGGAUAGUUGGGGGCAUUAGUAUUCAAUUGUCAGAGGUGAAAUUCUUGGAUUUAUUGAAGACUAACUACUGCGAAAGCAUUUGCCAAGGAUGUUUUCAUUAAUCAAGAACGAAAGUUAGGGGAUCGAAGACGAUCAGAUACCGUCGUAGUCUUAACCAUAAACUAUGCCGACUAGGGAUCGGAUGAUGUUAAUUUUUAAUGACUCAUUCGGCGC
RNAcentral lists this ribosomal RNA (515 nucleotides) under uncultured Glomus. RNAcentral's name for it is "SSU rRNA". It matches the Rfam family "Eukaryotic small subunit ribosomal RNA", at positions 569 to 1086 of the family's 1831-position model. Lineage: Eukaryota; Fungi; Glomeromycota; Glomeromycetes; Glomerales; Glomeraceae. The record is from RNAcentral.